This 427-nucleotide long non-coding RNA is filed under the name Homo sapiens (human). The stretch from base 349 to 425 matches the Rfam family "Small nucleolar RNA SNORD81". The record is from RNAcentral. Lineage: Eukaryota; Metazoa; Chordata; Mammalia; Primates; Hominidae.
UCUUUUCGAGGUAGGAGUCGACUCCUGUGAGGUAUGGUGCUGGGUGCAGAUGCAGUGUGGCUCUGGAUAGCACCUUAUGGACAGUUGUGUCCCCAAGGAAGGAUGAGAAUAGCUACUGAAGUCCUAAAGAGCAAGCCUAACUCAAGCCAUUGGCACACAGGCAUUAGACAGAAAGCUGGAAGUUGAAAUGGUGGAGUCCAACUUGCCUGGACCAGCUUAAUGGUUCUGCUCCUGGUAACGUUUUUAUCCAUGGAUGACUUGCUUGGGGUUUUUAAUGACCACAACAAGCAAGCAUGCAGCUUACUGCUUGAAAGGUGAGGAUUGGAAAUGUUGGGACUAUUAUAAUUGCAGAAUACAUGAUGAUCUCAAUCCAACUUGAACUCUCUCACUGAUUACUUGAUGACAAUAAAAUAUCUGAUAUUCUGCA